UGCCUAGAAUCUCAGCACGGGAGCUGCCUUUGUCACAGACCUUGGUUCCCCAUUCAAUCGAGCACCUGUGCAGUUGCCCUGUGGUCUGGCAUCCCAGGCUCAGCAGUGACAGCUCCUGAUGGGCUUUCACCUGACUUUCUAAAUCAGUGCUGUUCACUCAGCCAGAGCCUGGUCACCCCCGCAUGGAGUAGGAGUGAAGCUUAUGAAAAGGUGAGGUGCCAAACACACAGAGGAGAACACGGAGGAGGCCAUACUGUAAUAAAGAGAAAGCAAGCAGUCAGAAGUCACCCCAUAAAACACCUUCCACCCUCUGAGCAUGACCAGCAAAGCGGUUUCUUCUUGCGGGCACUGCAUCAGUCCAGCUCAAAGUGCAUUCCAUUCUGAUGAACAUCCACAAACAGUUAUGAAGAAGACCCAAAUGUCAUGAUUUUGUUCCUCUCAGAUAAUAAAAAUAUCAUGAGUCUGAAGGAGUGGUGGUGGGUGUUCAAGUCAAUUCAGUUACAAGCGUACGCCUUACCCCAGUUCUCGUGACUUCAUCCUGAAUUAGAGUUGUCCCCUGUCAUCUGGAAUAUAUUUCCCAUUGAGACACAUUACUCUCACUCCUUCUACAGCUGUCCCAGGCUCAGUGCUUGAUUUCUCAGAGAUUUUGUUAUGUGAAUCAGUCCAAAGUGUGUUACAGCAAGACUAAGUCAUCAUGAGUCACAUGAUCCACACAUUUCCUAUUUGUAUCUUUACUUGGUUGAGUGUGUUGUCGGGGGUUAGAAUAUAUUUUGGUCUGCUUUAACCUUUGUGUUCAAAUUCACUCUUAGGUUGAAAGAAAAAUAUAAACUCAAAUUUAAAGAAUAGCCUUCUUUAAAAGACAAGCUUGGCUAUGACUAAGCAGUUGUUACUUGAUGAGCGAGAGAAGCCCCUUCUUGGAUAAUUGGGGCUGCAGGAAUGGAGUGACCGUUUCCCCAUCAGCAUCCUCUCUGGGUGCUUCAGGUCUGAGCUAGAAGAGCAAGGGCCAGCGUCCCCCAGCACGUAGUUGUCUUGAUGCCACAGACAAAAUAAUUUAAUUCAUGUAUGCGUCCUCAUAAAUCUGACAAAUGUUUAGAAAAUGGAAGCUUUGAAACGUGCCGAAUUUGGGAGAGAAAGGUGUGCCUUUUACAGGACCAUCAGGUCAUCGCUCUGAUCUGGGAAUUUUUACGUAGUGAAUACAGAUUUCCCAGCCCAUAAACUGAACUCUGUUACCAAAGCAUUUUUAAAAUCUCGAUUUACAGUUUUCUUUCUGUGAGUUGGCAGAAAAUUUAAACUAGUUCAUUCUUGGUAUAUUCAGGAAAUUCCAAAAUUUCUCUCUUUUAGGAGGCACAAGUCCUUUCUUCCCCCUUUUUUCCCCAAGUGGGCAGGCAUUUGUGGCACCCAGCAUCAGGAAGAAAGUCCUUGCUCAGCCUUUCUCUGUGUUGUCAUAUCACACAGUGAUAGGAUCAUAGUUAAAGCUAGUAUUUAUACUUCGCUCUCUAUUUUGUACUUCGCUCUCUAUUUUAAGAGCUUUACAUAAAAAAAUUAAUUGAGG
Pan troglodytes (chimpanzee) is the source of this 1552-nucleotide long non-coding RNA. Lineage: Eukaryota; Metazoa; Chordata; Mammalia; Primates; Hominidae. The record is from Ensembl.